GGUAAGCUUGCGUGUUUCUAUUUUAGGCAACGACCCACAUCGAGAAUUUUUUCUGCUGUACUGUCUCGGGACAUUUUAAUAUUCCGUUAUUCUAAAACUUACAGUUUAUCAAUAUUAUCUAAUAAUAUCAGUUAAAUAACAAAAAGAAAGCAAUAAAUUUGUGUAAGGUAUUAAUGUUAUGUAAAACAUUUACGUAAUGCAAAAAUAAUGAUACAUAUAAGAAUCGGUAAAACAAAUAUCAGGCAUACACAUUUCACAGAAUGUUAAUAUUUGCAAAAUAAAAAAAAGGUCAUCGAUUAAACAUAAAUUGUACGGAUGACCACAUUUUUUCUCCAGAAAUGCUGAAUGCAAGGUUACCAUUAUAUAUUCGCUUCGUGCAAUGCUAUCAACAAGAUAACUUUCCCCAAAAUCAUUUCGAAUUAUCGUGAGUUCAGAGGAGAAUUAAACAAGAAUAAAAAUAAAAGAAGAAUAAAAGAGUUCGGGAGAACUAAAAAAUUGAUUGGCUUUUCUGACUGAAGAUUCGAAGAUUUUUAUGAAGCGUCGACUUUAUAAAACAAAAAAGCGAAUAAGGCAGGGGGUAUUCGGUUGACAGAACCCCUUGCGGCGUCAACCAAGAUGGCCGCACGGCUUAACGUGGAGUUAGCCGUUAUUUGAAUAAAUCUUUAUUUGAACAAAAUACAGUCAUAUGUUAUAAUUCUUGAUUCUUGUAACGAAAUAACGCGAAAGUUAGUUUAAAAUGAACGAGUGAUAUUGAAUAUGAUUCUACUCGUAUUUUUAUCGAUUGCUCAACACUCUGCGAAAGGAGGUCAAUGUUUUCAGUCGAGGUUAUACAUGCUGUUGAGGAUGACAUCACCGUCGCAUAGUAAGCGUGACGCAAUCGGUUGUGGCAACGUCACGUUUCAAGUUAGGCACACCCAGUAUUCCAAAAUUUUCGGGUUAUACCCUUUCACGGAACCUUUUAUAGAUUCUGCAUGCUUUUUAAUAAUAAUCAAGCCAUACAUUCGGAACAAAUUACAUAAUACGAAUCCAUUAUUUGCUUGCAACAUAUUUUCCUUGUCAAGCAAAUGGAAAUAUUACUGCCUUGUGGAAUCAAACGUAUGCUAUAAAUAUAGUACAUUAUACCAUGCAGUAUACCUUGAAAAUUCUUAUCAUUCCGCGCUUACGGCAUGAAAAUUUAUCUAAGAAUACCAACACGUCUGCCUCAAUGAAAUGUACACGCCUAUUUCUUGAAUAUCUGUCAUAUUAGUAGACUUAUUGGAAAGUGCUUUCUAUGUCUAACAAAUCUUAAAAAUUCAAUCAGAUGCCGUGCAUAUUAAUUUUAUCGUAAAUAUUUUAAAAUUAUUCUUUUUUUUGCUUAAUAUAAAAUAACAAAAAUUAUUAUAAAAUUAUAAACAUAUAUUAAAUAAAUUUUCAUUUAAAGAAGUUAAGUUAAGUAACUAUUACAUUAAAAUAUAUCUAGCAAUUAAACAAAUAAAAUUAAUAACAUUUGAUACAAGGAAGCUUGAGUUAUCAUUAGCCAAAUAUGAGACAGGUAGAAAAGAAAAACAGUUGUGAGCAUCUCAUUAAAUAUUUAUGCUGAUACUUAUCUGUUAGUAGGGCAAUUACUUGUUAUAGGAACAGGAAAUAUAAAAUCACUUAUAGUAUGUAAAUAUUUCGAUGUUGCAAUCAACAGGGUGUAAACAAACUUGGAUGCACAAAAACAACAUGCAAUCUUAAUUGACAUGUAUCAUGUAAAUGGCAAAUUAAAGUAAUUACAUGUUUAUAUAAUUUUUAUCACAGAAAAUUAUUGAAUUAAUAUUUCAUUACAAAUAUAAAUAUUUAAUAAUCCUUCCACUACUUUUAUUUAUGACUAAUAUAAGAAGACAAAUUAUAUAUGAAUGCAUACAUACAUAAAGAUAAAAUUUAGAAUAGGCGUGUGGUAAAACAUUAAAAAUCAUUGAAAUACAAAAUUUCGAAGCAAUUUUGUAUCACAUGACAACUGGUCUCCUUGUAUUUUUAAAAUCAAUUGCUAUACCUUUUA
Nomia melanderi (Alkali bee) is the source of this 2020-nucleotide long non-coding RNA. RefSeq lists it as uncharacterized. The record is from RefSeq and is a predicted model, not a curated record. NCBI's taxonomy places the organism in Eukaryota, Metazoa, Arthropoda, Insecta, Hymenoptera, Halictidae.